This 721-nucleotide ribosomal RNA is filed under the name Sutcliffiella horikoshii. RNAcentral's name for it is "bacterial SSU rRNA". It matches the Rfam family "Bacterial small subunit ribosomal RNA", at positions 32 to 734 of the family's 1533-position model. Lineage: Bacteria; Bacillati; Bacillota; Bacilli; Caryophanales; Bacillaceae. The record is from RNAcentral.
GGGCCGGGGCGGGGUGCCUAUACAUGCAAGUCGAGCGGACCUUUUAAAAGCUUGCUUUUGAAAGGUCAGCGGCGGACGGGUGAGUAACACGUGGGCAACCUGCCUGUAAGACUGGGAUAACUUCGGGAAACCGGAGCUAAUACCGGAUAAUAUAAGGAACCUCCUGGUUCUUUAUUGAAAGAUGGUUUCGGCUAUCACUUACAGAUGGGCCCGCGGCGCAUUAGCUAGUUGGUGAGGUAACGGCUCACCAAGGCGACGAUGCGUAGCCGACCUGAGAGGGUGAUCGGCCACACUGGGACUGAGACACGGCCCAGACUCCUACGGGAGGCAGCAGUAGGGAAUCUUCCACAAUGGACGAAAGUCUGAUGGAGCAACGCCGCGUGAGCGAUGAAGGCCUUCGGGUCGUAAAGCUCUGUUGUUAGGGAAGAACAAGUGCGAGAGUAACUGCUCGCACCUUGACGGUACCUAACCAGAAAGCCACGGCUAACUACGUGCCAGCAGCCGCGGUAAUACGUAGGUGGCAAGCGUUGUCCGGAAUUAUUGGGCGUAAAGCGCGCGCAGGUGGUCCUUUAAGUCUGAUGUGAAAGCCCACGGCUCAACCGUGGAGGGUCAUUGGAAACUGGGGGACUUGAGUGCAGAAGAGGAAAGUGGAAUUCCAAGUGUAGCGGUGAAAUGCGUAGAGAUUUGGAGGAACACCAGUGGCGAAGGCGACUUUCUGGUC